RNAcentral lists this ribosomal RNA (253 nucleotides) under uncultured bacterium. Its description in RNAcentral is "partial 16S ribosomal RNA". It matches the Rfam family "Bacterial small subunit ribosomal RNA", at positions 524 to 776 of the family's 1533-position model. The record is from RNAcentral.
UACGUAGGCAGCAAGCGUUGUUCGGAAUUACUGGGCGUAAAGCGCACGUAGGCGGAUUUGUAAGUCAGGGGUGAAAUCCCGGGGCUCAACCCCGGAACUGCCUUUGAUACUGCAAAUCUCGAGUCCGGAAGAGGUGAGUGGAAUUCCUAGUGUAGAGGUGAAAUUCGUAGAUAUUAGGAAGAACACCAGUGGCGAAGGCGGCUCACUGGUCCGGUACUGACGCUGAGGUGCGAAAGCGUGGGGAGCAAACAGG